Molecule: transfer RNA, 72 nt
Filed under: Marmota monax (woodchuck)
Lineage: Eukaryota; Metazoa; Chordata; Mammalia; Rodentia; Sciuridae
Rfam family: tRNA
About the family: Transfer RNA (tRNA) molecules are approximately 80 nucleotides in length. Their secondary structure includes four short double-helical elements and three loops (D, anti-codon, and T loops).
Source: Rfam by way of RNAcentral
UGGGGUGUAGCUUAGUGACAGAGUGUUCACCUACCAUGUGUGAGGCACUGGGUUUGAUCCUCAGCACCACAU